GACCCUGUUGAGCUUGACUCUAGU
This 24-nucleotide non-coding RNA is filed under the name Arabidopsis thaliana (thale cress). RNAcentral also lists the same sequence under 8 other names. Lineage: Eukaryota; Viridiplantae; Streptophyta; Magnoliopsida; Brassicales; Brassicaceae. The record is from RNAcentral.